This 201-nucleotide unclassified non-coding RNA is filed under the name soil metagenome. RNAcentral's name for it is "partial contains 5.8S ribosomal RNA, internal transcribed spacer 2, and large subunit ribosomal RNA". The record is from RNAcentral.
AACGCACGAGACCUGCGGACCUGCGGAAGGAUCAUUACCUAGAGUUUGUAGACUUCGGUCUGCUACCUCUUACCCAUGUCUUUUGAGUACCUUCGUUUCCUCGGCGGGUCCGCCCGCCGAUUGGACAACAUUCAAACCCUUUGCAGUUGCAAUCAGCGUCUGAAAAAACAUAAUAGUUACAACUUUUAACAAUGGAUCUCU